This 479-nucleotide ribosomal RNA is filed under the name uncultured bacterium. RNAcentral describes it as "partial 16S ribosomal RNA". It matches the Rfam family "Bacterial small subunit ribosomal RNA", at positions 28 to 507 of the family's 1533-position model. The record is from RNAcentral.
GAUGAACGCUAGCGGGAGGCCUAACACAUGCAAGCCGAGCGGUAUUUGUUCUUCGGAACAGAGAGAGCGGCGCACGGGUGCGGAACACGUGUGCAACCUGCCUUUAUCUGGGGGAUAGCCUUUCGAAAGGAAGAUUAAUACCCCAUAAUAUAUUGAGUGGCAUCAUUUGAUAUUGAAAACUCCGGUGGAUAGAGAUGGGCACGCGCAAGAUUAGAUAGUUGGUGAGGUAACGGCUCACCAAGCCAAUGAUCUUUAGGGGGCCUGAGAGGGUGAUCCCCCACACUGGUACUGAGACACGGACCAGACUCCUACGGGAGGCAGCAGUGAGGAAUAUUGGACAAUGGGUUAGCGCCUGAUCCAGCCAUCCCGCGUGAAGGACGACGGCCCUAUGGGUUGUAAACUUCUUUUGUAUAGGGAUAAACCUACUCUCGUGAGAGUAGCUGAAGGUACUAUACGAAUAAGCACCGGCUAACUCCGUG